GUAAGAGGCGCCCUCCUCCGCCGCCGCCGUGGCCUCCCGAGCGCGGGCUGGCGCGGGUGCGGGGCGGGGCGCGGCGGGUGGGUGCGCGCCGAGCCGGGCCGGGGCGGGGGCGCGCGGCAGUGGCCGCGCACGGAAGCUCGGGCGCUCGUGCCCGGCGGUGCGUUCGCGGCCUUGGCCCCCGCGCCGACCCCCGCCGCCGAGAGGACGGGAGAGCUGCGCCGCUGGCCCCCUGGCGUGCGCGGCCGGCGUCAGUCCCGGAGGCGUGGGCGGCCGCGCCGUGCGCUGCCCGGCGGCCCUGGUGCGGGAGGCCUGGUUCUGCGUCACCGCCCCUCCCUUCGUCUGCGUGGUUUGGUUCUUGGGACCUGGUAGAGGGUAGGCCGGCCCGGGGCGUUCCGUGUGCUGUCACUGCGUGGGAAAGGCUUCAGGACAGCGGGCCCUGUAGCGGGAUUCGGGACGCCGCCGUGCUCGGAGGCUUCGGCGGAUUGACGGCCGGGUCGGAGAGGGCAGGGAAGGCGGCGUCGUCGACCAUGCGAAGCGUGGAGGCAGAACAUGCUGGCAUCGUGUUGAUGAGGAUUCCAAUCUGCAUGGCAGACGCAGUCUCACUGUAACGCUCUGAAGCUCGAGGGCUGCAGGUCAUCCCAGGAAGGUGGUUUUGUCAUCAAACCUCAGGCAGUUUUGAAGCAAACCAGAUCAUCUCAGUGUCAUUAUUAUUCUACAGACCUCAAGACCACACCCAUCACUUUUCCAUAAGUCUUUUACAUUCCUGCAGUUAUCAUGAGAAAGCCCUGCUAAGUAUAACAGACCUAUGAAUGCUUUCAGUUCAGCUAGUGAGGUGUCAUAAUAAACACAUUUUUGAGUAUGGUUAUUGGUGCAUAUGGAUUGUUUUACUUGUAUUUCAGCAUUUGUGUAUUUCACAAUAUCUUGUAGCAUUUAGUCUGCUCCAAACAAUUUCCAACAUUGAAUGGCAGUGCUGGUAUUCCAUCCAAUAGGUUUCACCCCUGCCAAGAUCCUUACUGUAUUUCAAACCUAGUUCUAACAUCAGAUUGUUCCAUUUGGCUGUGUGACCAUUUUGUACCAUUCAACUAGUCAAAUAUGUACUCACAUUGUUUUCUUCAUCAUCUGAAUCAAGGGGGUCUGUAUUCCUUGUGUCUGUAUCGGUCAGUUCUUCCUCUAUUUAAUUGUCACAGGACCUUUGGCUCACAUGGCCUACAUCAAAGCCAUUAUCAUCUUCGUCAUCCGUACAUGAAAUCACCUGAUGAUUCACUUUUAACCUUUUCCAAAACUUGCAAAUCUGAUUUUUCAUGUGCCAUUGUACUGAACUGGGCUACUUCAACCAGAAAAAUCAAAAGAAAACUUUUUUAAAAACAAGGUCCUAAAUACACAGAAAUUUGACAGUGAGCAUUUUGUGGG
This 1410-nucleotide long non-coding RNA is filed under the name Heterocephalus glaber (naked mole-rat). RNAcentral describes it as "lncRNA (ENSHGLG00100041344.1)". The record is from RNAcentral. Lineage: Eukaryota; Metazoa; Chordata; Mammalia; Rodentia; Bathyergidae.